UACAGAGGGUGCAAGCGUUGUUCGGAAUUAUUGGGCGUAAAGGGCGCGUAGGCGGUGCGGUAAGUCACCUGUGAAACCCCCGGGCUCAACUCGGGGCCUGCAGUCGAUACGGGCAGGCUAGAGUUCGGUAGGGGAGACUGGAAUUCCUGGUGUAGCGGUGAAAUGCGCAGAUAUCAGGAGGAACACCGGUGGCGAAGGCGGGUCUCUGGGCCGAUACUGACGCUGAGGAGCGAAAGCGUGGGGAGCGAACAGG
This 253-nucleotide ribosomal RNA is filed under the name uncultured bacterium. Its description in RNAcentral is "partial 16S ribosomal RNA". It matches the Rfam family "Bacterial small subunit ribosomal RNA", at positions 524 to 776 of the family's 1533-position model. The record is from RNAcentral.